Molecule: ribosomal RNA, 1059 nt
Filed under: Salmonella enterica subsp. enterica serovar Enteritidis
Lineage: Bacteria; Pseudomonadati; Pseudomonadota; Gammaproteobacteria; Enterobacterales; Enterobacteriaceae
Description: partial 23S ribosomal RNA
Rfam family: Bacterial large subunit ribosomal RNA
Source: RNAcentral
GAAGGCUAUGUUGGCCGGGCGACGGUUGUCCCGGUUUAAGCGUGUAGGUGUGUGUUCCAGGUAAAUCCGGUUCACUUUAACACUGAGGCGUGACGACGAGGCACUACGGUGCUGAAGCAACAAAUGCCCUGCUUCCAGGAAAAGCCUCUAAGCAUCAGGUAACAUCAAAUCGUACCCCAAACCGACACAGGUGGUCAGGUAGAGAAUACCAAGGCGCUUGAGAGAACUCGGGUGAAGGAACUAGGCAAAAUGGUGCCGUAACUUCGGGAGAAGGCACGCUGACACGUAGGUGAAGUGAUUUACUCAUGGAGCUGAAGUCAGUCGAAGAUACCAGCUGGCUGCAACUGUUUAUUAAAAACACAGCACUGUGCAAACACGAAAGUGGACGUAUACGGUGUGACGCCUGCCCGGUGCCGGAAGGUUAAUUGAUGGGGUCAGCGCAAGCGAAGCUCCUGAUCGAAGCCCCGGUAAACGGCGGCCGUAACUAUAACGGUCCUAAGGUAGCGAAAUUCCUUGUCGGGUAAGUUCCGACCUGCACGAAUGGCGUAAUGAUGGCCAGGCUGUCUCCACCCGAGACUCAGUGAAAUUGAACUCGCUGUGAAGAUGCAGUGUACCCGCGGCAAGACGGAAAGACCCCGUGAACCUUUACUAUAGCUUGACACUGAACAUUGAGCCUUGAUGUGUAGGAUAGGUGGGAGGCUUUGAAGUGUGGACGCCAGUCUGCAUGGAGCCGACCUUGAAAUACCACCCUUUAAUGUUUGAUGUUCUAACGUGGACCCGUUACCCGGGUUGCGGACAGUGUCUGGUGGGUAGUUUGACUGGGGCGGUCUCCUCCUAAAGAGUAACGGAGGAGCACGAAGGUUGGCUAAUCCUGGUCGGACAUCAGGAGGUUAGUGCAAUGGCAUAAGCCAGCUUGACUGCGAGCGUGACGGCGCGAGCAGGUGCGAAAGCAGGUCAUAGUGAUCCGGUGGUUCUGAAUGGAAGGGCCAUCGCUCAACGGAUAAAAGGUACUCCGGGGAUAACAGGCUGAUACCGCCCAAGAGUUCAUAUCGACGGCGG